AUACGGAGGGUCCGAGCGUUAUCCGGAAUCAUUGGGUUUAAAGGGUCCGUAGGCGGGAAUCUAAGUCAGUGGUGAAAUCUUGCAGCUCAACUGUAAAAUUGCCAUUGAUACUGGAUUUCUUGAAUUAGUGUGAAGUGGUUAGAAUGUGUAGUGUAGCGGUGAAAUGCAUAGAUAUUACACAGAAUACCAAUUGCAAAGGCAGAUCACUAACACUAUAUUGACGCUGAGGGACGAAAGCGUGGGGAGCGAACAGGAUUAGAAACCCCAGUAGUCC
RNAcentral lists this ribosomal RNA (274 nucleotides) under uncultured bacterium. RNAcentral describes it as "partial 16S ribosomal RNA". It matches the Rfam family "Bacterial small subunit ribosomal RNA", at positions 523 to 796 of the family's 1533-position model. The record is from RNAcentral.